GAUGAACGCUGGCGGCGUGCCUAAUACAUGCAAGUCGAGCGAACAGACGAGGAGCUUGCUCCUCUGACGUUAGCGGCGGACGGGUGAGUAACACGUGGAUAACCUACCUAUAAGACUGGGAUAACUUCGGGAAACCGGAGCUAAUACCGGAUAAUAAAUUGAACCGCAUGGUUCAAUAGUGAAAGACGGUUUUGCUGUCACUUAUAGAUGGAUCCGCGCCGCAUUAGCUAGUUGGUAAGGUAACGGCUUACCAAGGCAACGAUGCGUAGCCGACCUGAGAGGGUGAUCGGCCACACUGGAACUGAGACACGGUCCAGACUCCUACGGGAGGCAGCAGUAGGGAAUCUUCCGCAAUGGGCGAAAGCGUGACGGAGCAACGCCGCGUGAGUGAUGAAGGUCUUCGGAUCGUAAAACUCUGUUAUUAGGGAAGAACAAAUGUGUAAGUAACUAUGCACGUCUUGACGGUACCUAAUCAGAAAGCCACGGCUAACUACGUG
RNAcentral lists this ribosomal RNA (497 nucleotides) under uncultured bacterium. RNAcentral describes it as "partial 16S ribosomal RNA". It matches the Rfam family "Bacterial small subunit ribosomal RNA", at positions 28 to 507 of the family's 1533-position model. The record is from RNAcentral.